RNAcentral lists this ribosomal RNA (550 nucleotides) under uncultured bacterium. RNAcentral describes it as "bacterial SSU rRNA". It matches the Rfam family "Bacterial small subunit ribosomal RNA", at positions 355 to 896 of the family's 1533-position model. The record is from RNAcentral.
UAGGGAAUCUUCGGCAAUGGACGGAAGUCUGACCGGGCAACGCCGCGUGAGUGAAGAAGGUUUUCGGAUCGUAAAGCUCUGUUGUAAGAGAAGAACGAGUGUGAGAGUGGAAAGUUCACACUGUGACGGUAACUUACCAGAAAGGGACGGCUAACUACGUGCCAGCAGCCGCGGUAAUACGUAGGUCCCGAGCGUUAUCCGGAUUUAUUGGGCGUAAAGCGAGCGCAGGCGGUUAGAUAAGUCUGAAGUUAAAGGCUGUGGCUUAACCAUAGUACGCUUUGGAAACUGUUUAACUUGAGUGCAGAAGGGGAGAGUGGAAUUCCAUGUGUAGCGGUGAAAUGCGUAGAUAUAUGGAGGAACACCGGUGGCGAAAGCGGCUCUCUGGUCUGUAACUGACGCUGAGGCUCGAAAGCGUGGGGAGCAAACAGGAUUAGAUACCCUGGUAGUCCACGCCGUAAACGAUGAGUGCUAGGUGUUGGGUCCUUUCCGGGACUCAGUGCCGCAGCUAACGCAUUAAGCACUCCGCCUGGGGAGUACGACCGCAAGGUUG